RNAcentral lists this transfer RNA (73 nucleotides) under Caldimonas brevitalea. RNAcentral's name for it is "[Polyangium] brachysporum tRNA". It matches the Rfam family "tRNA". From Rfam's summary of the family: Transfer RNA (tRNA) molecules are approximately 80 nucleotides in length. Lineage: Bacteria; Pseudomonadati; Pseudomonadota; Betaproteobacteria; Burkholderiales; Sphaerotilaceae. The record is from Rfam by way of RNAcentral.
GGGUAUGUAGCUCAACUGGCAGAGCACCGGUCUCCAAAACCGAAGGUUCGUGGUUCGAUUCCACGCAUGCCCG